RNAcentral lists this long non-coding RNA (444 nucleotides) under Nicotiana tabacum (common tobacco). RNAcentral describes it as "long non-coding RNA (NTAB_LNC000960)". Lineage: Eukaryota; Viridiplantae; Streptophyta; Magnoliopsida; Solanales; Solanaceae. The record is from RNAcentral.
GAAAAAGUUUAGUUUAGGGUUUAAAACCCUAAUGUUGACUAAAGGGAAAAAGUUCAGUUUAGGGUUUUAAAAUCCUAAUGCUAACUGAACGGAAAAAAGUUCAGUUUAGGGUUUAAAACCCUAAUGCUGACUGAAUGGAAAAAGUUCAGUUUAGGGUUUAAAACCCUAAUGCUGACUAAAGGGAAAAGUUCAGUUUAGGGUUUAAAACCCUAAUGCUGACUAAAGGAAAAAGUUCAGUUUAGGGUUUAAAACCCUAAUGCUGACUGAAUGGAAAAAGUUGUGUUUAGGGUUUAAAACCCUAUUGCUGACUAAAUGGAAAAAGUUCAGUUUAGGGUUUAAAACCCUAAUGUUGACUAAAGGAAAGAGUUCAGUUUAGGGUUUAAAACCCUAAUGCUGACUAAAGGAAAGAGUUCAGUUUAGGGUUUAAAACCCUAAUGCUGACUG